Molecule: long non-coding RNA, 1236 nt
Filed under: Mytilus galloprovincialis (Mediterranean mussel)
Lineage: Eukaryota; Metazoa; Mollusca; Bivalvia; Mytilida; Mytilidae
Source: RNAcentral
CCGGCCAAUGAACUCUUUACCUUUUGAAUUCUAGACUGGGGAUGCCCUUAAAAUUGAAACACACAAUUGUAAAGUAAAAAUGUAAAUUUAUGAUUCUGAAACAAUCAACAUGAUCAAUUCACAAUACUUCAACAAAAAAUAUCAAUUUCACAAAAUGAAAAUAUGGAUAAGCCUAGAUAGUAGCUAUUACAUUCAUGACAUUGUAUUAUAGGUAGAUAAAUUUACUGAGUGAGAGUAUACAUGGUAUAUACAAGUUUUAUUGAUGCUACACUGCAUAGCUUUCAUGAUGUCAAACAAGGACAAAUCACGGGUUACUGUCCUGAGAGACAAAUAUGUUUUCUUUCCACAUGUAUUACAUAAAUUUACAUAUCUAACCAUCCCUUCACCUUAAAAGUGAAUCGUUUUUCACUGCAUGUUGUCUGAGAGGAUCAACAUAAUCUGUUGAGUCAUUGCUUCACAUAUUUUCUGCAAUCAACCUUUCCUUCUUUUUUUCUCUUUUAUAUAAUUUGAAAGCCAGCUUUGAAAUUGUCAGAAACCUGGCCGAGAUGGGCUUGUCCUUUGUAAUUAUUGAGGGAUGUAUACAAUGAAUGAAAAUCAAAUGAAUGAUAUAUAUCUGAUAAUGAUAUAUCAAAGUACCAGUUGAACCUGGACAGUAAUAAAUCAUAAAACCCUGAAUUCAAUCAUGUGUCAUUACAAGGGUGAAGACCAUGUACAGUACUACAUUGUAGUAUGCUAGAACUACAAUAAUUUACACUUGCCAAAGUUAUACAUACAUGUAUGUAACAAAAGAACACAUAAAUCAUUUAGUGCUGUACAUAUAUAGACAAUUACACUAUCUGGUUUCAAAAGUUUGACUUUAUUAAAAUAUUGUGUUAAAAAAUUGACAAAUAAUUAGGGCCAGUUGGGUUGGUUGUAAUCAAAAUUAAUACUAAAUCAUGAUAUUGUAAGUUGUUAUAGUCCACCAAUCUCCAACUUUACUCUUGAUUGCUACGUAAUUGUAAACUAAAGGUCGCUUGAGGGCCCAGAAUUCUUGAGUUAGGGUGGUAGAAUCACAAAUAUUUUUUUUGUAUGCCUAUAUCAUACUAUAUAUAUAUACAUAUAUACAAUGUACAUGUACAAAUACAUUUGUAGCACCUGGUAACUAUUGAUUUUGUUCUGUAACAAAUGUACCAUGGUAACAAAUAAAUAAUAAUCACGAUAAUAAUAGUACUUAAUAAAUAUUAUCUGAAAAAGAAA